GUGCUUGCUUCAGCAGCACAUAUACUAAUACUGGAACGAUACAGUGAUUAGCAUGGCCCCUGUGCAAGGAUGAUCUGCAAAUUCAUGAAGCAUUCUAUAUUUAA
Small nuclear RNA from Myotis lucifugus (little brown bat), 104 nucleotides. The record is from Ensembl. NCBI's taxonomy places the organism in Eukaryota, Metazoa, Chordata, Mammalia, Chiroptera, Vespertilionidae.